RNAcentral lists this ribosomal RNA (556 nucleotides) under Punctelia subflava. RNAcentral's name for it is "SSU rRNA". It matches the Rfam family "Bacterial small subunit ribosomal RNA", at positions 356 to 929 of the family's 1533-position model. The record is from RNAcentral. Lineage: Eukaryota; Fungi; Ascomycota; Lecanoromycetes; Lecanorales; Parmeliaceae.
GAGGAAUGUAUAGCAAUAGCUACUUGCAUCAUUGUACAGAUGAUGCAAGAUCGACUAUGUUGAAUAAAAUUCUAGGUAGAAUUAUGAUAAUGACAUUGUCUGCCUAUGUGUCUUGACCAAAUUACGUGCCAGCAGUCGCGGUAAUACGUAGAAGACUAGUGUUAUUCAUGUUUAAUCGGUUUAAAGGGUACCUAGACGGUAGAUCAAGCUUUUACAUAUAAAUUAUGAUAAUUAAAGGACUAAUUUACUAGAGUUACUUACGAGGGGGCAUUAAAGUACUGCUGGUGUAGAGAUGAAAUUCUGUCAUACCUCUUUUCGAAAGAAAAAUCAUGGCACAGGUAUAGGCGAAGGCAUCCCCUUAUGUGAUAACUGACGUUGAGGGACGAAGGCUUUGUGUAACAAACAGGAUUAGAUACCCUAGUAGUUGAAGCAGAAAAUGAUGAAUGUCAUAGAUUAGAUAUAUAAGUUUAUUCUAUAAAUGAAAGUGUAAGCAUUCCACCUCAUGAGUAAUUUGGCAACAUUGGAACUGAAAUCAUUAGACCGUUUCUGAAACCAG